UACGAACUGUGGCAAACGUUAUUCGGAAUCACUGGGCUUAAAGGGUGCGUAGGCGGCCAUUUAAGUAGGGUGUGAAAGCCCCCGGCUCAACCGGGGAAUUGCGUCCUAAACUAGAUGGCUCGAGUGAGAUAGAGGUGUGUGGAACUUCCGGUGGAGCGGUGAAAUGUGUUGAUAUCGAGAGGAACACCUGCGGCGAAGGCGGGUUGCUGGGCUGACACUGACGCUGAUGCGCGAAAGCUAGGGGAGCGAACGGG
Molecule: ribosomal RNA, 254 nt
Filed under: uncultured bacterium
Lineage: Bacteria
Description: partial 16S ribosomal RNA
Rfam family: Bacterial small subunit ribosomal RNA
Source: RNAcentral